Molecule: transfer RNA, 74 nt
Filed under: Alosa alosa (allis shad)
Lineage: Eukaryota; Metazoa; Chordata; Actinopteri; Clupeiformes; Clupeidae
Description: tRNA-OTHER
Source: RNAcentral
GCAGUUGUGGCCUACUGGUUAGGGCUUUGGGCUUAUAAGCGAAGGGUUGCCUGUUCGAUCCCCGACCAGUAGGA